CCAGAGGAUACUUCCUGUUCUCAGGUCCUCUCUCACAAGCAGGAGAGGCUCAUGUGUCAUAUUUUACUGCACAUGCAGUUCAUGACGGAGCUGGAGCUUUGACACCUCACGCCAUAAGCAACAUGAGUGUGGGUUAUGUCAUUGCCCUCACACUGCUCUGGUUCAUGGGUUCUGUUUUGAGUUCAGUGGUCAACCAAACUCCUAGAAAUCUUUUCACGAAGCAAGAGGGUUCAAUGAAGAUCCUCUGUCAACAUAACUACUCAAGCUACAAUCGCAUUUUCUGGUACCGACAAAACCAGAACAGAGAAAUGACUUUACUGGCCUAUCUCACUGUAACAUCACCAAACUAUGAAGACAAGUCCAAGAGCAAUAUUGAGCUGCUUGGGGACGCCAGCACUGAUAAAAAUAACUCCAUUGAAAUCAGCAGUCUUUCAGCACAAGACAGCGCUCUGUAUUAUUGUGCUGCUAGUACACAGCAGAAUAAUGUCCCUAUCAGCACAGCAAAAACCCCUCACAUGGCACUCUUUAGUUUCAUACACACACCUGUUUGCAGCAGCCGGCUUUUGGCAUUAUGCCAAGAAAGACUGUGAGAUAACUUUGUGACAAUUAGUAGCACAAUUCAGACUGUGUAUAUUGAUCCUUACGUAACAGUACGCUUCAGUAAGAUAUCAAUAUAAACUUUUGAGAAUUCAUCAAAUACAGACAUAACAAAUGAAACUGGCAAUUAACCCAGUUGUGUUUUUAAUGGCUAAAAUAUAUCCCUUCAGAUUCAUAUAUUUUACUUUAAAUUGUAUGUAUUCCUAAUUUUAAACCCACAUUAUUAAAAGCCUUCCACUGCUUCUUUCUACCUCUUUAGUGUUAUAGGCUGAUCAUUUUUACAGAUCACAAAUUUAACAAACAUUAUACUUUCAUUUUUCCUCUUGGAAAUAGUUGAAUAUGUACAUCCCAUAAUUACUACUCAGUCGCAAAAUUGCAUGCUACUGUAUGCAUAAGAAAUCAACAAUUGAAAACGCCAAAAAUAGAUGUUCACAAAAGAAAGUGGAGGGAAAAAUAUUCAGAUGGCAUAUCAGCAGAGGGCGCACACUCACAGCAUGGUUCUGUAAAGCUAGAUGUACCGUGUAGAACAUAUCUGAGAACAGUGUGAUCUUCUGACU
Non-coding RNA from Sardina pilchardus (European sardine), 1154 nucleotides. The record is from the annotation of a RefSeq genome assembly. NCBI's taxonomy places the organism in Eukaryota, Metazoa, Chordata, Actinopteri, Clupeiformes, Clupeidae.